UUAAAACCUUCUUCCCUUUUUGCUGAAUUAUUGAAUUGGUAACAUAUUUCUAAGACUAGAGAAGGUUGCUUUAUUUUAUCAGUUAUCAGCUUUGGUCAUGGCUUAUAGUUCCAUUCGAUUUCAGACGAUUACCGUCAGACGACAACCUUGUCCAAACCUGACCCAUCUAGUCCCAUAAAAGUAAGGAUUGAGGUUGACAGCAUUGGAGACAUGAAACUGCACAUCGGUAACCUCCUAAGAGGACGAGCUGUUAUGGAAAACAUGCUCGAUAGGAUGAUCAACAUUUCAUGGAGGCCAGGCUUCGUCGUCGUCCGACCCCUGAUCAAUGAUAUUGUCAGCACUGCAUUCACGGAAAUAUUUAAUCGAGCCUUUGGACAUCUCGACUUCAAUCAAAUCAUUCCCAAUAGUUAAGAAUUAAUAAGUCAUAAAAAAUAUUUAUAGUGGUUAUUGGGGAUAUUAAAAAAAAACAAAAAAACUAUACUUUCAAUCAAAUCAUUCCUAAUAGUUAAGAUUUAAUAAGCCUGAAAAAAAUAUGUUUACAGGUUAUUGGGAGAACAAAAAAACAAACAAAAACCAUACUGUCAAUCAAAUCAUUCCCAAUAGUUAAGAAUUAAUAAGUCAUAAACAAUAUUUACAGUGGUUAUUGGGGUAU
Cimex lectularius (bed bug) is the source of this 652-nucleotide long non-coding RNA. RefSeq lists it as uncharacterized. The transcript has 2 exons. The record is from RefSeq and is a predicted model, not a curated record. NCBI's taxonomy places the organism in Eukaryota, Metazoa, Arthropoda, Insecta, Hemiptera, Cimicidae.